CCUACGGGUUGCAGCAGUGGGGAAUCUUGCGCAAUGGGCGAAAGCCUGACGCAGCCAUGCCGCGUGAAUGAUGAAGGUCUUAGGAUUGUAAAAUUCUUUUAGCAGGGACGAUAGUGACGGUACCUGCAGAAAAAGCCCCGGCUAACUUCGUGCCAGCAGCCGCGGUAAUACGAAGGGGGCUAGCGUUGCUCGGAAUUACUGGGCGUAAAGGGAGCGUAGGCGGGUUAUCAAGUUGGAGGUGAAAGCCCAGAGCUCAACCUUGGAAUUGCCUUCAAAACUGAUAACCUAGAGGAUGAUAGAGGUAAGUGGAACUCCGAGUGUAGAGGUGAAAUUCGUAGAUAUUCGGAAGAACACCAGUGGCGAAGGCGACUUACUGGAUCAUUACUGACGCUGAGGCUCGAAAGCGGGGGGAGCAAACAGGAUUAGAUACCCGCGUAGUC
This 440-nucleotide ribosomal RNA is filed under the name uncultured bacterium. RNAcentral describes it as "bacterial SSU rRNA". It matches the Rfam family "Bacterial small subunit ribosomal RNA", at positions 338 to 795 of the family's 1533-position model. The record is from RNAcentral.